RNAcentral lists this non-coding RNA (63 nucleotides) under Polarella glacialis. Lineage: Eukaryota; Dinophyceae; Suessiales; Suessiaceae. The record is from RNAcentral.
UGGAAGGGAGCAGCGAUUCUCUGCCGCUCGUGGAGCAGCCGCGCUUCGUGCACAACAGGAGCA